RNAcentral lists this ribosomal RNA (253 nucleotides) under uncultured bacterium. RNAcentral describes it as "partial 16S ribosomal RNA". It matches the Rfam family "Bacterial small subunit ribosomal RNA", at positions 524 to 776 of the family's 1533-position model. The record is from RNAcentral.
UACGUAGGGUGCGAGCGUUAAUCGGAAUUACUGGGCGUAAAGCGUGCGCAGGCGGUUCGUUGUGUCCGUCGUGAAAGCCCCGGGCUUAACCUGGGAACUGCGAUGGAAACUAGCGAGCUGGAGUGUGGCAGAGGGGGGUGGAAUUCCGCGUGUAGCAGUGAAAUGCUUAGAUAUGACAUAGAACACCAAUUGCGAAGGCAGCUUACUACGCGGUCAUUGACGCUGAGGCACGAAAGCGUGGGGAGCAAACAGG